This 171-nucleotide non-coding RNA is filed under the name uncultured Hydrogeniiclostridium sp. RNAcentral describes it as "Lysine riboswitch". It matches the Rfam family "Lysine riboswitch aptamer". From Rfam's summary of the family: Riboswitches are metabolite binding domains within certain messenger RNAs that serve as precision sensors for their corresponding targets. Lineage: Bacteria; Bacillati; Bacillota; Clostridia; Eubacteriales; Acutalibacteraceae. The record is from RNAcentral.
UAACGAUAGAGGCGCGGGUUUGAUCAGUAUCUCAUUCUAGCCCUGCCACGGGCGCCACAGAAUGGAGGGAAAGGCAAAACCGCCGAAGGGAGCUUCUGGCAAGAGAUCCCUGGGGGUCGCUGUUAAUAGCGUGGCAACUGUCAUCAUUCAAUAUGAUGGAGUGCUAUCGGU